This 753-nucleotide ribosomal RNA is filed under the name Vreelandella aquamarina. RNAcentral describes it as "bacterial SSU rRNA". It matches the Rfam family "Bacterial small subunit ribosomal RNA", at positions 34 to 786 of the family's 1533-position model. Lineage: Bacteria; Pseudomonadati; Pseudomonadota; Gammaproteobacteria; Oceanospirillales; Halomonadaceae. The record is from RNAcentral.
CGCCGGGCGGCAGACUACACAUGCAGUCGAGCGGUAACAGAUCCAGCUUGCUGGAUGCUGACGAGCGGCGGACGGGUGAGUAAUGCAUAGGAAUCUGCCCGAUAGUGGGGGAUAACCUGGGGAAACCCAGGCUAAUACCGCAUACGUCCUACGGGAGAAAGGGGGCUUCGGCUCCCGCUAUCGGAUGAGCCUAUGUCGGAUUAGCUAGUUGGUGAGGUAACGGCUCACCAAGGCCACGAUCCGUAGCUGGUCUGAGAGGAUGAUCAGCCACAUCGGGACUGAGACACGGCCCGAACUCCUACGGGAGGCAGCAGUGGGGAAUAUUGGACAAUGGGGGGAACCCUGAUCCAGCCAUGCCGCGUGUGUGAAGAAGGCCCUCGGGUUGUAAAGCACUUUCAGCGAGGAAGAACGCCUAGCGGUUAAUACCCGCUAGGAAAGACAUCACUCGCAGAAGAAGCACCGGCUAACUCCGUGCCAGCAGCCGCGGUAAUACGGAGGGUGCAAGCGUUAAUCGGAAUUACUGGGCGUAAAGCGCGCGUAGGUGGCUUGAUAAGCCGGUUGUGAAAGCCCCGGGCUCAACCUGGGAACGGCAUCCGGAACUGUCAAGCUAGAGUGCAGGAGAGGAAGGUAGAAUUCCCGGUGUAGCGGUGAAAUGCGUAGAGAUCGGGAGGAAUACCAGUGGCGAAGGCGGCCUUCUGGACUGACACUGACACUGAGGUGCGAAAGCGUGGGUAGCAAACAGGAUUAGUGCCC